MicroRNA precursor from Dipodomys ordii (Ord's kangaroo rat), 78 nucleotides. The record is from Ensembl. NCBI's taxonomy places the organism in Eukaryota, Metazoa, Chordata, Mammalia, Rodentia, Heteromyidae.
GGGCCCUUCGGGAGGGCCCCCCCUCAAUCCUGUCGUGCUUACGUCAGAGGGUUGGGUGGAGGCUCUCCUGAAGGCCUC